GUCGAGAAUCUUUCACAACGGGGGCAACCCUGAUGGAGCGACGCCGCGUGGAGGAUAAGGUCUUCGGAUUGUAAACUCCUGUCAUGCGUGAACAAGGUUGCUUGGUUAAUACCUGGGCAAAUUGAUGGUAACGCAAGAGGAAGAGACGGCUAACUCUGUGCCAGCAGCCGCGGUAAUACAGAGGUCUCAAGCGUUGUUCGGAAUCACUGGGCGUAAAGGGUGCGUAGGUGGCGUGGUAAGUCAGAUGUGAAAGCCCGGGGCUCAACCUCGGAACUGCAUCCGAUACUGCCAUGCUAGAGUACUGGAGAGGUGACUAGAAUUCUCGGUGUAGCAGUGAAAUGCGUAGAUAUCGAGAGGAAUACCAAAGGCGUAGGCAGGUCACUGGACAGUUACUGACACUGAGGCACGAAGGCCAGGGGAGCGAACGGGAUUAGAAACCCCAGUAGUCC
Molecule: ribosomal RNA, 449 nt
Filed under: uncultured bacterium
Lineage: Bacteria
Description: partial 16S ribosomal RNA
Rfam family: Bacterial small subunit ribosomal RNA
Source: RNAcentral